This 253-nucleotide ribosomal RNA is filed under the name uncultured bacterium. RNAcentral describes it as "partial 16S ribosomal RNA". It matches the Rfam family "Bacterial small subunit ribosomal RNA", at positions 524 to 776 of the family's 1533-position model. The record is from RNAcentral.
UACAGAGGGUGCAAGCGUUGUUCGGAAUUAUUGGGCGUAAAGGGCGCGUAGGCGGUUCGGCAAGUCUCUAGUGAAAUCUCUGGGCUCAACUCAGAGUCUGCUGGGGAAACUGCCGGGCUUGAGUGUGGGAGAGGAGAGUGGAAUUCCAGGUGUAGCGGUGAAAUGCGUAGAUAUCGGGAGGAACACCUGUGGCGAAAGCGGCUCUCUGGACCACAACUGACGCUGAGGCGCGAAAGCUAGGGGAGCAAACAGG